GACGAACGCUGGCGGCGUGCUUAACACAUGCAAGUCGAACGGAAAGGCCCUGCUUUUGUGGGGUGCUCGAGUGGCGAACGGGUGAGUAACACGUGAGUAACCUGCCCUUGACUUUGGGAUAACUUCAGGAAACUGGGGCUAAUACCGGAUAGGAGCUCCUGCUGCAUGGUGGGGGUUGGAAAGUUUCGGCGGGUGGGGAUGGACUCGCGGCUUAUCAGCUUGUUGGUGGGGUAGUGGCUUACCAAGGCUUUGACGGGUAGCCGGCCUGAGAGGGUGACCGGCGACAUUGGGACUGAGAUACGGCCCAGACUCCUACGGGAGGCAGCAGUGGGGAAUAUUGCACAAUGGGCGGAAGUCUGAUGCAGCAACGCCGCGUGCGGGAUGACGGCCUUCGGGUUGUAAACCGCUUUCGCCUGUGACGAAGCGUGAGUGACGGUAAUGGGUAAAGAAGCACCGGCUAACUACGUG
This 468-nucleotide ribosomal RNA is filed under the name uncultured bacterium. Its description in RNAcentral is "partial 16S ribosomal RNA". It matches the Rfam family "Bacterial small subunit ribosomal RNA", at positions 28 to 507 of the family's 1533-position model. The record is from RNAcentral.